UAGGCUGGACUUGAACAGCCCGC
RNAcentral lists this microRNA (23 nucleotides) under Rattus norvegicus (Norway rat). RNAcentral's name for it is "rno-miR-6333". The record is from miRBase by way of RNAcentral. Lineage: Eukaryota; Metazoa; Chordata; Mammalia; Rodentia; Muridae.